AGUGAACGCUGGCGGUAGGCCUAACACAUGCAAGUCGAACGGCAGCACAGUAAGAGCUUGCUCUUACGGGUGGCGAGUGGCGGACGGGUGAGGAAUACAUCGGAAUCUACUUUUUCGUGGGGGAGAACGUAGGGAAACUAACGCUAAUACCGCAUACGACCUACGGGUGAAAGCAGGGGAUCUUCGGACCUUGCGCGAUUGAAUGAGCCGAUGUCGGAUUAGCUAGUUGGAGGGGUAAAGGCGCACCAAGGCGACGAUCCUUAGCUGGUCUGAGUGGAUGAUCAGCGACACUAGAACGUAAAGACGGUCGAGACUCCUACGGGAGGCAGCAGUGGGGAAUGUUAGACAGUGGAUGCAAGCCUGAUGCUGCCAUACAGCGUGGGUGAAGAAGAACUUCGGGUUGUGGAGCCCUUUUGUUAGGAAAGAAAAGCAGCAGGUUAAUACCCCGCUGUUCUGACGGUACCCAAAGAAUAAGCACCGGCUAACUUCGUG
Molecule: ribosomal RNA, 492 nt
Filed under: uncultured bacterium
Lineage: Bacteria
Description: partial 16S ribosomal RNA
Rfam family: Bacterial small subunit ribosomal RNA
Source: RNAcentral